GAUGAACGCUGGCGGCGUGCCUAAUACAUGCAAGUCGAGCGAACGGACGAGAAGCUUGCUUCUCUGAUGUUAGCGGCGGACGGGUGAGUAACACGUGGAUAACCUACCUAUAAGACUGGGAUAACUUCGGGAAACCGGAGCUAAUACCGGAUAAUAUUUUGAACCGCAUGGUUCAAAAGUGAAAGACGGUCUUGCUGUCACUUAUAGAUGGAUCCGCGCUGCAUUAGCUAGUUGGUAAGGUAACGGCUUACCAAGGCAACGAUGCAUAGCCGACCUGAGAGGGUGAGCGGCCACACUGGAACUGAGACACGGUCCAGACUCCUACGGGAGGCAGCAGUAGGGAAUCUUCCGCAAUGGGCGAAAGCCUGACGGAGCAACGCCGCGUGAGUGAUGAAGGUCGUCGGAUCGUAAAACUCUGUUAUUAGGGAAGAACAUAUGUGUAAGUAACUGUGCACAUCUUGACGGUACCUAAUCAGAAAGCCACGGCUAACUACGUG
This 497-nucleotide ribosomal RNA is filed under the name uncultured bacterium. RNAcentral's name for it is "partial 16S ribosomal RNA". It matches the Rfam family "Bacterial small subunit ribosomal RNA", at positions 28 to 507 of the family's 1533-position model. The record is from RNAcentral.